Molecule: ribosomal RNA, 468 nt
Filed under: uncultured bacterium
Lineage: Bacteria
Description: partial 16S ribosomal RNA
Rfam family: Bacterial small subunit ribosomal RNA
Source: RNAcentral
GACGAACGCUGGCGGCGUGCUUAACACAUGCAAGUCGAACGGAAAGGCCCUGCUUUUGUGGGGUGCUCGAGUGGCGAACGGGUGAGUAACACGUGAGUAACCUGCCCUUGACUUUGGGAUAACUUCAGGAAACUGGGGCUAAUACCGGAUAGGAGCUCCUGCUGCAUGGUGGGGGUUGGAAAGUUUCGGCGGUUGGGGAUGGACUCGCGGCUUAUCAGCUUGUUGGUGGGGUAGUGGCUUACCAAGGCUUUGACGGGUAGCCGGCCUGAGAGGGUGACCGGCCAAAAUGGGACUGAGGUACGGCCCAGAAUCCUACGGGAGGCAGCAGUGGGGAAUAAUGCAACAUGGGCGGAAGCCUGAUGCAGCAACGGCGGGUGCGGGAUGACGGCCUUUGGGUUGGAAACCGCUUUCGCCUGGGACGAAGGGUGAGUGAAGGGAAUGGGUAAAGAAGCACCGGCUAACUACGUG